GUGAGCGAUCAUUCCACCAAUAAUACAUUGGAUCCCAUUAGAACUUUGCAGUUAAGCAUGCUUGGUGAGAAUAGUACUAAGUUGGGCGACCACUUGGGAAGUCCUUGUGUUACACCCC
This 118-nucleotide ribosomal RNA is filed under the name Cucumis melo (muskmelon). Lineage: Eukaryota; Viridiplantae; Streptophyta; Magnoliopsida; Cucurbitales; Cucurbitaceae. RNAcentral also lists the same sequence under 1 other name. The record is from RNAcentral.